RNAcentral lists this ribosomal RNA (429 nucleotides) under Actinomycetes bacterium. Its description in RNAcentral is "Actinobacteria bacterium partial 16S ribosomal RNA". It matches the Rfam family "Bacterial small subunit ribosomal RNA", at positions 355 to 776 of the family's 1533-position model. The record is from RNAcentral. Lineage: Bacteria; Bacillati; Actinomycetota; Actinomycetes.
UAGGGAAUCUUCCGCAAUGGGCGAAAGCCUGACGGAGCAACGCCGCGUGAGUGAUGAAGGUCUUCGGAUCGUAAAACUCUUUUAUUAGGGAAGAACAAAUGUGUAAGUAACUAUGCACGUCUUGACGGUACCUAAUCAGAAAGCCACGGCUAACUACGUGCCAGCAGCCGCGGUAAUACGUUGGUGGCAAGCGUUAUCCGGAAUUAUUGGGCGUAAAGCGCGCGUAGGCGGUUUUUUAAGUCUGAUGUGAAAGCCAACGGCUCAACCGUGGAGGGGCAUUGGAAACUGGAAAACUUGAGUGCAGAAGAGGAAAAUGGAAUUCCAUGUGGAGCGGUGAAAUGCGCAGAGAUAUGGGGGAACACCAGUGGCGAAGGCAACUUUCUGGUCUGUAACUGACGCUGAUGUGCGAAAGCGUGGGGAUCAAACAGG